This 75-nucleotide transfer RNA is filed under the name Pseudoalteromonas phage pYD6-A. It matches the Rfam family "tRNA". Rfam says of the family: Transfer RNA (tRNA) molecules are approximately 80 nucleotides in length. Their secondary structure includes four short double-helical elements and three loops (D, anti-codon, and T loops). The record is from Rfam by way of RNAcentral. Lineage: Duplodnaviria; Heunggongvirae; Uroviricota; Caudoviricetes; Schitoviridae.
GGCCCUAAAGCUCAUUAGGUAUGAGCACCCGGCUCAUAACCGGGAGGUAGAUAGGUUCGAAUCCUUCUAGGGUCA